GUUCGAAAAAGUAGGUUUUCCACAUAAAUCAAAAUGGUGGACCGGAACUUCAGUAAACACUGGCAUAUUUGGUAUCUAUGUUAUCGGCAUAAGCCAGGGAAUAUUUUGAGCCCAGUUUCGUUGCAAUAGGCUAAUGGACUAAAAAGUUAUUAGCAUUUUAAAAAGUGUAAUUACUCAUGGAUAAUGAAUGGUUUAUUACUCUUGACCAAUAGGUGGCGCUGUUACCAAAUUUAUGUGGCAUGGUCAGUGUGAGGUGGCGAUGACACAUACAAAGUUUGGUGCAAAUAUGUCAAAGUGUUGCAGAGAUACAGCCUCAAAUGCAUUUUGGCACCCUUCCAGCAAAUUCGUUGAUGCGCUAAAUGAGAACCGUUACGUAUAUCGACACAAAAUCCAUAACUUUUUGCCAGCAUGGUCUGAAGAUGAUUCACGUCAAAUUUGGUGAAAAUCUGAGCAACGGUCUAGGAGGAGUUCGAAAAAGUAGGUUUUCAACAUUAAGCAAAAUGGCGGACAGGAAGUAAGGCCAAUUUUCACAUUAUUGGUAUCAAUACUCUCGGCAUGACCCACAGAAUAUAGCGAGACCAUUUUAAUUUUAAUAGACUAAUUUAUUCAAAAGUUAUUAGCGUUUAUGUGAUAUUUCAUUAUAACUAUUGGCCACAAGGUGGCGCUGCCACCAAACUUUUUGAGUACCUUCAGGGCAUGGAGCCGAAUAUUUUUGUAAUUAUUUGCGAAACGAUACGAUGCUGCGUUCAAAAAAUACAGCAUUUUGAAACAUAAUUCAAAAUGGCCGACGCCUAAAAUGGCCGACACAGGAAAAUUGGAUAUCAUUCGACUCGACAUGACUCACUGAAUCUAAAGAGACCAGUUGUGUGAUUUUUGGCCAAACCAUUCAGUAGUUAUAAGUCAAAAUAUGCAUUUUUCAUAUCUCCUGACCACUAGGUGGCGCUGUGUCGAAACACAGCAGGUAGUCUCAGUUCAUGCUUGUUAUAACACACGCCAAGUUUGGUCUCAAUAUGAGAAACCGUUGCCGGGAUAUAGCCUCACGUGCAUGUUUGCGUGCUUUUCGUCAAAUUUGUUUACGUGUCAUUCGACAACAGUUGGACGAAUCAACUUGAAUUCCAUAACUUUUUGCCAGCAUGGUCUGAAGAUGAUCUGAGCCAAUUUUCGUGGCAAUCGGACUAACCGUCUAGGACGAGUUCGAAAAAGUAGGUUUUUCGAAUAAUUGAAAAUAGCGAAAAAACUAAACCUUGCGAUUUUUGAAUUUUAGGGUUCAUUCGACUUGGCCUGAGCCAAGGAUUCAGAGGAAAAAAGAAUUUCCAUUUUCUGGCUUACGGUUCAAAAGUUAUUAGCAUACAAACAUUGAAAGUUUGGACAAGUGGUGGCGCUAGAGAGUAGGAGUUAGAGGCUUCAAAUUUGCUAUAGUUAAUGUUGGGACUGUCCUCUAUCAGUGUGCCAAAUUAUACAACUUUCCCGCAAACGGUUCUAUGGGCUGCCAUAGACUUGCGGCGGAAGAAGAAGAAGAAGAAGAAGAAUAAUAAUAACGCCAACGAUUACAAUAGGUGCCUACGCACCUUCGGUGCUUGGCCCCUAAAUAUAGCUGCAAGCAGCAAUUACGGGGCCAAGCACUCCAACGGCAAAUGUAGGAGCUAAGCAUCGCAUGAAGCAUCACACCAAAUACAUUAAUGAGCAAUAACUGCAAUUUUGGAAUUAUUGUAUUUGAAAUGGCAAAAAAAAACAAAAAAAACAAUACCACCUCUAGUAGCAUGAUUACUUGGCUUAUCAAGCUUGACCAAUAGGUGGCACUGUUAUAAAAUCAAUUUGGUGUACUCUGUGUGACUUUUCAAUGACACACACAAAGUUUGGUGUCAAUAUGCCAAAGCAUUCCAGGGAUACAGCCUCAAGUGUCAUUUUCUCAUUGUGCCUCAAAUUCGUCGAUGUGGUAUGCGAAAACGGUUUUGUCUAUCGACUCAAAAUCCAUAACUUUGAAUCAGUAUAGUCUGAAGAUCAUUUGAUUCGAAUUUGGUGAAAAUCGGACAUACGGUUGAUGAGGAGUUCGAAAAAGUAUGUUUUCAACAUAAAUCAAAAUGGCGGACCGGAAGUUCAGCUUACUGUGGUAUAUUUGGUAUCUAUGUUAUCGGCAUAAGCCAGGGAAUAUUUUGAGCCCAGUUUCCUUCAAAUAGGCUAAUGCAAUAAAAAGUUAUUAGCAUUUUAAAAAGUGUAAUUACUCAUGGUUAAUGAAUGGUUUAUUACUCUUGACCAAUAGGUGGCGCUGUUACCAAAUUUAUGUGGCAUGGUCAGUGUGAGGUGGCGAUGACACAUACAAAGUUUGGUGCAAAUAUGUCAAAGUGUUGCAGAGAUACAGCCUCAAAUGCAUUUUGGCACCCUUCCAGCAAAUUCGUUGAUGCGCUAAAUGAGAACCGUUACGUAUAUCGACACAAAAUCCAUAACUUUUUGCCAGCAUGGUCUGAAGAUGAUGCACGUCAAAUUUGGUGAAAAUUGGGCUAACGGUCUAGGAGGAGUUCGAAAAAGUAGGUUUUCAACAUUAAGCAAAAUGGCGGACAGGAAGUAAGGCCAAUUUUCACAUUAUUGGUAUCAAUACUCUCGGCAUGACCCACAGAAUAUAGCGAGACCAUUUUAAUUUUAAUAGACUAAUUUAUUCAAAAGUUAUUAGCAUUUAUGUGAUAUUUCAUUAUAACUAUUGGCCACAAGGUGGCACUGCCACCAAACUUUUUGAGUACCUUCAGGGCAUGGAGCCGAAUAUUUUUGUAAUUAUUUGCGAAACGAUACGAUGCUGCGUUCAAAAAAUACAGCAUUUUGAAACAUAAUUCAAAAUGGCCGACGCCUAAAAUGGCCGACACAGGAAAAUUGGAUAUCAUUCGACUCGACAUGACUCACUGAAUCUAAAGAGACCAGUUGUGUGAUUUUUGGCCAAACCAUUCAGUAGUUAUAAGCCAAAAUAUGCAUUUUUCAUAUCUCCUGACCACUAGGUGGCGCUGUGUCGAAACACUGCAGGUAGUCUCAGUUCAUGCUUGUUAUAACACACGCCAAGUUUGGUCUCAAUAUGACAAACCGUUGCCGGGAUAUAGCCUCACGUGCAUGUUUGCGUGCUUUUUGUCAAAUUUGUUUACAUGUCAUUCGACAACAGUUGGACGAAUCAACUUGAAUUCCAUAACUUUUUGCCAGCAUGGUCUGAAGAUGAUCUGAGCCAAUUUUCGUGGCAAUCGGACUAACCGUCUAGGACGAGUUCGAAAAAGUAGGUUUUUCGAAUAAUUGAAAAUAGCGAAAAAACUAAACCUUGCGAUUUUUGAAUUUUAGGGUUCAUUCGACUUGGCCUGAGCCAAGGAUUCAGAGGAAAAAAGAAUUUCCAUUUUCUGGCUUACGGUUCAAAAGUUAUUAGCAUACAAACAUUGAAAGUUUGGACAAGUGGUGGCGCUAGAGAGUAGGAGUUAGAGGCUUCAAAUUUGCUAUAGUUAAUGUUGGGACUGUCCUCUAUCAGUGUGCCAAAUUAUACAACUUUCCCGCAAACGGUUCUAUGGGCUGCCAUAGACUUGCGGCGGAAGAAGAAGAAGAAUAAUAAAUAUAGCUGCAAGCAGCA
Molecule: long non-coding RNA, 3592 nt
Organism: Carassius gibelio (silver crucian carp)
Lineage: Eukaryota; Metazoa; Chordata; Actinopteri; Cypriniformes; Cyprinidae
Exons: 3
Source: RefSeq, a predicted model, not a curated record